RNAcentral lists this small nucleolar RNA (90 nucleotides) under Catagonus wagneri (Chacoan peccary). Lineage: Eukaryota; Metazoa; Chordata; Mammalia; Artiodactyla; Tayassuidae. The record is from RNAcentral.
CCACUCUCACGAUGUCCAGCACUAGGCUCUGAUCGUUCCUUAGGAUAAAAUGCCCCCCAGUAACUUUGAUACUUGGGGGUCUGAGAGGCC